GUACUCUCACACUCUCUGAUCCUUUGGAUUUGGGGAGCGGUGGACUUGGGUGUUUGCUGCUUUCCUUGUGGCUCACCUCAAAUGCGUCAGUGCACCUCUUGGUUGGACAUAGUACGGCGUGAUAAGUGUCUUCGCCGGCGCCUCGCAAGAGGGUGGCCGAUCGGGAGCUCUGUGCUUUCAAACCGUCCUCGGACAAUCUCUGACA
RNAcentral lists this unclassified non-coding RNA (205 nucleotides) under uncultured Sebacina. Its description in RNAcentral is "sequence contains ITS2". Lineage: Eukaryota; Fungi; Basidiomycota; Agaricomycetes; Sebacinales; Sebacinaceae. The record is from RNAcentral.